Molecule: long non-coding RNA, 396 nt
Filed under: Equus asinus (donkey)
Lineage: Eukaryota; Metazoa; Chordata; Mammalia; Perissodactyla; Equidae
Description: lncRNA (ENSEASG00005030457.1)
Source: RNAcentral
GGAAACUUUUAACCUAGAUAAGCUUAUUUACAAGGUGCCUUAGAGAAAAAGGGUCUCGGCCAAGAACUCACUGUAAAGGGUGGAGGGAGAAUUUUUUCCUCCUCUACAGUUCCCAGUGACCCAGAUGGGACCUGCUGGGAUACCCACCCCACUUGCUCUGGAGCCUGCAGACAGGAUCCAGGGAAAACUGGCAGAAGUUGGCAAAGGCUGAUUUGGGACAUGAAGACCUUGGCUUCAGAGUGCGCUCCAAACUUUGGGUGUUAUUCUUCUCAUAGUCAUCACUGUAGUCUUCCCAAUGUGUUAUAAUUUCUCAAAGCUCUCAAAUAUAUGUUCACAAACACUGGCCCACCGACAGAUGACUUCACUGAGAUUGGAACACCAAAAGAAAAAGGAGGA